AUGCUGUGCGGUUUUCUCGCUCUCUCUCCUCUGCGCGGCUCCUAUCGUUUGGUCUCAUUACAGGAAAUCGCUGAGGAAAACGCAAAACCAGACGAAAACGCAGAAGAGAUAUUGGAUGCAACUUUCUAUAUGCAGCAUGGUGACAGUAUCUUUGAAGUUGGGUCUUGCUUCAAGCCUGUUCUAUUAGAGUUUUAUUUUAGCAUCUCUCGAGUAUUUUACUACACACACUGA
This 231-nucleotide long non-coding RNA is filed under the name Vicia faba (fava bean). Lineage: Eukaryota; Viridiplantae; Streptophyta; Magnoliopsida; Fabales; Fabaceae. The record is from RNAcentral.